UGUCGAUGCGCGAAUGCCGUGCCAGAAGAUCCAGCAUAUGAUCGAAGAAUCCGAUGCCGGUCGCGACAUUGGAUAUGCCGGUCCCGUCCAGAUUGACCGACACCAUGAUGUCGGUUUCCUUGGUCUUGCNNNNNNNNNUGAAAAGUGCUCUCCAGAAGCCGGAAGUCGCGCCCUUUUAACAGGCACAUGACGCCUUCGCUACUGCGGGAUGACGCGAUUUUUGCCUGAGUUUUCAGAUA
Molecule: unclassified non-coding RNA, 239 nt
Filed under: Hevea brasiliensis (rubber tree)
Lineage: Eukaryota; Viridiplantae; Streptophyta; Magnoliopsida; Malpighiales; Euphorbiaceae
Source: RNAcentral